GACAGAGGGUGCAAACGUUGCUCGGAAUUACUGGGCGUAAAGCGCAUGUAGGCGGCAACGCAAGUCGGGCGUGAAAUCCCACGGCUCAACCGUGGAAGUGCACUCGAAACUGCGUAGCUAGAGUCCUGGAGAGGAAGGUGGAAUGCUUGGUGUAGAGGUGAAAUUCGUAGAUAUCAAGCGGAACACCGGUGGCGAAGGCGGCCUUCUGGACAGUGACUGACGCUGAGAUGCGAAAGCGUGGGGAGCAAACAGG
RNAcentral lists this ribosomal RNA (253 nucleotides) under uncultured bacterium. Its description in RNAcentral is "partial 16S ribosomal RNA". It matches the Rfam family "Bacterial small subunit ribosomal RNA", at positions 524 to 776 of the family's 1533-position model. The record is from RNAcentral.